This is an RNA transcript of Mus musculus (house mouse), 3625 nucleotides long. It is a transcript of the gene named caspase 2, with no coding region annotated. The transcript is spliced from 12 exons. The record is from RefSeq and is marked reviewed. Lineage: Eukaryota; Metazoa; Chordata; Mammalia; Rodentia; Muridae.
GGAGCCGUGCGCAAGCGCGGCGCGGUGGGAGGCUGGGGGAGGGAUGCGGGGGCUGGCGCGGCCCAGCGUUUGUUUGUUUUGUGGGUGGUGCGUGUGCAGCCCGGGAAAAGCUGGAAAUGGCGGCGCCGAGCGGGAGGUCGCAGUCCUCCCUGCACAGGAAGGGGCUGAUGGCGGCUGACAGGAGGAGCAGGAUUUUGGCAGUGUGUGGAAUGCAUCCUGACCACCAGGAAACACUGAAAAAGAAUCGAGUGGUGCUGGCCAAGCAGCUGCUGCUGAGCGAGCUGUUAGAACACCUCCUAGAGAAGGACAUUAUCACUUUGGAAAUGAGGGAGCUCAUCCAGGCCAAAGGGGGCAGUUUCAGCCAGAAUGUGGAACUCCUCAACCUGCUGCCAAAGAGAGGACCCCAGGCUUUUGAUGCCUUCUGUGAAGCCCUGCGGGAGACCAGGCAGGGUCACUUGGAAGACUUACUGCUCACAACCCUCUCAGAUAUUCAGCACGUACUCCCACCGUUGAGCUGUGACUAUGACACAAGUCUCCCUUUCUCGGUGUGUGAGUCCUGCCCUCCUCACAAGCAGCUCCGCCUAUCCACAGAUGCUACGGAACACUCCUUAGAUAAUGGUGAUGGUCCUCCCUGUCUUCUGGUGAAGCCAUGCACUCCUGAGUUUUACCAGGCACACUACCAGCUGGGUAACGACAUUGCCUGUCAUCAAGAAGCUCCUGGUCUAAUUGGCCUCCUCCUUCUAGGCCUAUAGGUUGCAAUCUCAGCCCCGUGGCUUGGCACUGGUGCUGAGCAAUGUGCACUUCACUGGAGAGAAAGACCUGGAAUUCCGCUCUGGAGGGGAUGUGGACCACACUACUCUAGUCACCCUCUUCAAGCUUUUGGGCUACAAUGUCCAUGUGCUACAUGACCAGACCGCACAGGAAAUGCAAGAGAAACUUCAGAAUUUUGCACAGUUACCUGCACACCGGGUCACAGACUCCUGCGUAGUGGCACUCCUCUCACAUGGUGUGGAAGGUGGCAUCUAUGGUGUAGAUGGCAAACUGCUUCAGCUCCAAGAGGUUUUUCGACUUUUUGACAAUGCUAACUGUCCAAGUCUACAGAACAAGCCAAAAAUGUUCUUCAUCCAAGCAUGUCGUGGAGGUGCUAUUGGAUCCCUUGGGCACCUCCUUCUGUUCACUGCUGCCACCGCCUCUCUUGCUCUAUGAGACAGAUAGAGGUGUCGACCAGCAAGAUGGAAAGAACCACACACAAUCCCCUGGAUGUGAGGAGAGUGAUGCUGGCAAAGAGGAGUUGAUGAAGAUGAGACUGCCUACUCGCUCAGACAUGAUAUGUGGCUAUGCUUGCCUUAAAGGUAAUGCUGCCAUGCGGAACACCAAACGGGGUUCCUGGUACAUUGAGGCCCUCACUCAGGUGUUCUCUGAAAGAGCUUGUGACAUGCACGUGGCCGACAUGCUUGUUAAGGUGAAUGCCCUUAUCAAGGAGCGUGAAGGCUAUGCCCCUGGCACAGAAUUCCACCGAUGCAAGGAGAUGUCUGAGUACUGUAGUACUCUGUGCCAGCAACUCUACCUGUUCCCAGGCUACCCACCCACGUGAUGCCGCCUGCUAUUCCUGCUGUUGGAGGCCACUGGACCACUGGGGGCACAAUGGAGACUUCUCUUCAGAAUGGUUUUUGUUCUGUCUACCCUCUCAGGGAUAUGAGAUUCUCCCAGGCUUGUUUCCUGUCAGCCAUCUCUGUCUUUGGGUAUGAAACAUAAGGAUGGCUCCUCCGGUGUCGUGUUCUCUACCUAUAGAGCCAGCUCUGAAUGGAUGUGUUACCAGAAGCAUUUUAGCUACAGCCUAGAAAAUGACAUUGUGAACACAGUAUUAUUGUGGGAAGAGGGCAUUUGGAUUUCUCAAUGUUUGUGAUAUUUUUGUUCCCAAGGCAUCUUAGGAGUACUUGGAUCAUAGCUUUUUUUUUUUUUCCUAAAUCAGUUAAGGAGUCUCAGAGAUCAUCUCCUUUUUUUUCCAUAUCUACAACCUCAUUUUUCCCACAGUGGAGAUUUGGAAGAUGUCCCAAUUUAAUGUAGGUGUUUUCAUCUGUCAUGAAGGGACAGAUGAGAUCCUACUACUUGCGAAGUUUCUAUGCAUACCUUUAAGUUCAGGCCCUAGGUGAAGGACAGUCCCUCAGCCUUUCCAUUGGUUCCUUUGUGUUCAGUGCACCCAGCCUUUGAACAGAGCCUAGGGUCUGUAUGCCAUGACACUGGAAGUCAUAGAAAUUUCCCUGGUCAUGCUUUGUUUGAACUGUCACUGAAUGAACCUUAUCGGGCAUAACUACAUGAAAAUGCAGUGACAGCUGAGUGUGCUGUGUCUCACACUAUCACCCGUCAUCAGGAUGUCUCUCCUUCCUUACUGUGGCUUCUGCAUGCACUUACACUGUACUUGACGGCUGGCCUCCAGGGUCUCUCUUGCUUUGUACUGGUUCCCCUCUUUACCUUCACCAUUCGCUGCUUCUGCCAAGUCUGUGAAGCCGUCCUUUGUAGGAUGUUUCUUGCCACUUACGCUGUACUGUAGUUGCUUAUUCUUUCUGCCUUCUGCUUCAGCGUGAGGCUUCUUUGGUUUUCUGUGGCAGCGUCUCCCUUCUCAUUGUUUCUCUGUGUUUUAGUGGGGAUAGUACCAUAUGUGAUAUAACCUAGAAGCACUUGUCUCUGCUCUUAUGAAACUUGCUUAUUCUUGAAAACCUUCUGCAUUUCCAUUUUUUCCUCUCUUCCAAUUUAUUCUCCAUGUAACAGAGUAGUUUGGUUUUUAAAAUAUCUGGUGAUGUCAUUCUCUUGCUUAGAACACUAGCUUCCUGUUACGCUUCAUCUAAAAUGCAAAUUCUUACACCCAGCUUACGAGAUCUGGCUCAUACCUUCCCUUUGGAUCUCAUUAAAUGGUGAUUUCUCACUAUGCUCCAGCCCCUCUUAGGUCCUCAUCUCCGUCUUGCAGGUGUUCUGAACUCUCCUUUGGCUAGUCUCUGAUUUUUGAGUCUGGCGGAGGCCUCUUGACCAUGCUGCCCAUGCUGUCUACUGUGCCUCCUUAUGAGGGCAUCAUGUUGGUCUCUGUUGUGCUUACUGCAGGCUGUAAUGGCACUUUUGCUUGUUUCACUUGUUCCCUCUGAGGCUGAAUGCUCCAAGAGAGUGGGAACUGUGCUUCUUACUUACUGAUAUCCAGUAACUGGCACUUACUAGGUCUUCAUGAAUGUUUCCUGAGUAAAGGAAGGAGACCAGCAGCUAACCUUAGUUAGAGCCUACCUUUUGCAGUUUCUAAAUUGCUAUUAUAGUGUACAGUUCAAUUAGUAUAUGGGUUUUUUUUUCCAGGUGUUUUAUUUUUAUCCACUGUUUUGUUGUUGUUUUUUUAUAUUUUCUACAUAUCACGUGUGAGACAACUUCUUUCACAUCUCCAUAGUGCCCAGCAAAUUUGAGGCCUAUGGUAGUUGAGGUGCUCAACUAAUGUUUGUUGUAUGAACCAAGUGGUUUGAAGACUUGCUGCCAAAUUCUGCCUUUUGGGUCAGUAUAGGAUGCAUAAGUGGUAGAAUCUUCACACUUCCCACUGCCAAGAUUUUGUAUUGCCAUCAGGUGCCAAAUAAAUGUUGAUACUUAUUACUGA